RNAcentral lists this long non-coding RNA (1018 nucleotides) under Olea europaea subsp. europaea. Lineage: Eukaryota; Viridiplantae; Streptophyta; Magnoliopsida; Lamiales; Oleaceae. The record is from RNAcentral.
UGAGUUGUUUAGGAGAGAUCCCCAUUUUGGUGAAAGCCUCCUGCGAGAGUAUAUUUGUUGCACUCCCAUUAUCAACCAGAAUCCUCUUCACUUUGAAGUUAGCCACGAUUGCAGAGACGAUCAAGGCAUUGUCAUGAGGAUAUGAUAUUCCUUCCAAAUUUCUUGCUCCAAAGGUGAUAUCUUUGACUUCAUCACGGGAUUCCCUUGGGGUAUAAGCAUGUUGGCGGGCAUACUGCUUUCGCCCACUAUUUGUGUCUCCUCCAGAUGCUAUGCCCCCAACGAUAAUAUUAAUGAUCCCAGCAGUGGGUUGAGCACUACUUCCGGCUCUAGGCUCUUUCUGAUUGUCACGAUCAUUUCUCGGGCGUUUAUCAUGACCAAUGUAAUUCCUUAAGAGUCCUCUUUUAAUAAGAGCUUCGAUUUUCCGCUGAAAAGCCUGACAAUCCUCCGUGGUAUGCCCAUGAUCUUGGUGAAAUUCACAAUACUUGUUCCUAUCUCUCAUGUCAGGGGGCGAUUUCAUUCUUGAAGUCCACUUUAAUUCUUUCAUAUCUUUGAUCUCUAUUAAGAUGUUUGUCGUGGAGGUGUUUAAUCGGGUGAGGAGCCCUGCUGGACCUUCAUUCUUGCAUUUUUCUCGAGGAUACUCCGGUCGAGAGAUGGGAUCAUGUUGCUUCCUAUUCUCAACCUUUUCAUGGGGAGGACCAGGUCUCCUUGGAUUUAGUGUUUUCUCCAUAUUAAUGUACUUUUCAGCUCGGGUGAGAAGCUCAGUUACUGUCUGUGGUGGGGUCUUUGAUAAAGACAUCUUGAAAGCAUCACAUCUUAUGGCGUAAGUAAGGGCGAAGACAGCCGCUGUGAUGUGAAGGUCGGGUAUCUGGAGCCUUUCUUUGUUAAACCUCGUUAUAAAUCCUCGUAGGAUUUCACUUGGUCCCUGGUAAAGUUGCAUGAGAGAGGCCGCAGUCUUUCUGAUUCGCUUGCUACUUGUAAAGAAGGCUGAGAACUUAUCAGCCAAAUCUGAGAAUGAGGC